UACAGAGGGGGCAAGCGUUGUUCGGAAUUACUGGGCGUAAAGGGCGCGUAGGCGGCCUUCUAAGUCGAACGUGAAAUCCCCGGGCUCAACCUGGGAACUGCGUCCGAUACUGGCAGGCUUGAAUCCGGGAGAGGGAUGUGGAAUUCCAGGUGUAGCGGUGAAAUGCGCAGAUAUCAGGAGGAACACCUAUUGCGAAGGCAGCUCGCUGGGACGUUACUGACGCUGAGACGCGAAAGCGUGGGGAGCAAACAGG
RNAcentral lists this ribosomal RNA (253 nucleotides) under uncultured bacterium. RNAcentral's name for it is "partial 16S ribosomal RNA". It matches the Rfam family "Bacterial small subunit ribosomal RNA", at positions 524 to 776 of the family's 1533-position model. The record is from RNAcentral.